UUAAGUUAUUAAGGGCGCACGGUGGAUGCCUUGGCACUAGGAGGCGAUGAAGGACGUGACUACCUACGAUAUGCUGCGGUUAGGCGGAAGUAGCCUAGGACCCGCAGGUUUCCGAAUGGGGCAACCCACCCAGAGUAAUGUCUGGGUAUCAUCAACUGAAUACAUAGGUUGAUCGAAGCUAACCCGGGGAACUGAAACAUCUAAGUACCCGGUGGAAAAGAAAAUAAAUAUGAUUCCCUGAGUAGUGGCGAGCGAAAGGGGAAGAGCCUAAACCGACAUCCUUAUGGCUGUCGGGGUUGUGGGACAAGCGACAUAGAGAAGUUAUGUUAGACGAAUGAUCUGGGAAGUUCAACCAUAGGAGGUGAGAGUCCUGUAGUCGAAAACAUGAUCAUCUUAGCUUGAAUCCCGAGUACCGCGAAGUAAGUGGAAUUUUGUGGGAAUCUGCCAGAACCAUCUGGUAAGGCUAAAUACUCCCUAGUGACCGAUAGUGAAGAAGUACCGUGAGGGAAAGGUGAAAAGCAUUCCUAACAGGAAGGUGAAAUAGUACCUGAAACCGUGCGCUUACAAACGGUUGGAGCUCUGUUUACAGAGUGACAGCGUGCCUUUUGGAUAAUGAGCCUACGAGUUACUCGUACAUUGCAAGGUUAAGCUCUUAAGGAGCGAAGCCGUAGCGAAAGCAAGUCUUAAUAGGGCGUUGAGUAAUGUGCGGUAGACGCGAAACCAGGUGAUCUACCCUUGUCCAGGAUGAAGGGACGGUAACACGUCCUGGAGGUCCGAACCAGUAUCAGUUGAAAAUGAUUUGGAUGAGGUGAGGGUAGGGGUGAAAGGCCAAUCAAACCUGGAGAUAGCUCGUACUCCUCGAAAUAGCUUUAGGGCUAGCCUCGGUUAAUAGUGUUGCGGAGGUAGAGCACUGAUUGGGCUAGGGCCCUCACAAGGGUACCAACCCCAGACAAACUCCGAAUUCCGCCAACAUGUUUACCGGGAGUCAGGCAGUGGGGGAUAAGCUUCAUUGCCAAGAGGGGAACAACCCAGACCAUCAGCUAAGGUCCCCAAAUGAUAGUUAACAGAGAAAGGAUGUUGAGUUGCUCAGACAACUAGGAUGUUGGCUUAGAAGCAGCCAUUCAUUUAAAGAGUGCGUAAUAGCUCACUAGUCAAGCGACUCAGCGUCGACAAUAAGCGGGACUUAAACUAUCUACCGAAGCUAUGGACUUCGUAAGAAGUGGUAGAGGAGCAUUCUAUGGGCGGUGAAGGUGUACCGCGAGGUAUGUUGGAGCGCAUAGAAAAGCAAAUGUAGGCAUGAGUAACGAUAAGACGGAUGAAAAAUCCGUCCGCCGAAAAUCUAAGGUUUCCUGAGCAACGUUAAUCGACUCAGGGUUAGUCGGUCCCUAAGCCGAGGCUGAAAAGCGUAGGUGAUGGGAAACGGGUUAAUAUUCCCGUACCUGGUAUUAUACAUUUGAGUAUAAGGAGGGACGCAGAAGUGAAGGUCAGCCACCUGUUGGAUUAGGUGGUCUAAGCAUGUAGGGGGUGAUGGUAGGCAAAUCCGCCGUCACAACUCCGAGGUGCGAACGGGUGAGCAAUAGCUCUGAACUGAUCGUAAUCAUACUGCCUAGAAAAUCUUCGUAUACAAGUGUAAUAUCAGUCCGUACCGUAAACCGACACAGGUAGAUGGGAUGAGUAUUCUCAGGCGCUCGAGUGAGUCGUGGUUAAGGAACUCGGCAAAUUAACCCCGUAACUUCGGGAGAAGGGGUACCUCCGGUAUGUGAAAUCCUUGCGGAUUUAGCUGAAAGAGGUCGCAGUGAAAAGGCCCAGGCGACUGUUUAACAAAAACACAUGUCUCUGCGAAGUCAAUCAAGACGAAGUAUAGGGACUGACACCUGCCCGGUGCUGGAAGGUUAAGAGGAGAGGUUAGCUUCGGCGAAGCUUUGAAUCGAAGCCCCAGUAAACGGCGGCCGUAACUAUAACGGUCCUAAGGUAGCGAAAUUCCUUGUCGGGUAAGUUCCGACCUGCACGAAAGGUGCAACGAUCUGGGCACUGUCUCAACCACGAGCUCGGUGAAAUUGUGGUACCGGUGAAGACGCCGGUUACCCGCAUACGGACGAAAAGACCCCGUGAACCUUUACUGCACCCUAACAUUGGGUUCGAGUAAAUCAUGUGUAGGAUAGGUGGGAGACUUUGAAGCUGGGGCGCUAGCCUCGGUGGAGUCAACGGUGAAAUACCACCCUUGGUUUAUUUGGAUUCUAACCGCGUGCCUUGAAUCAGGUACCGGAACAUUGUUAGGCGGGUAGUUUGACUGGGGCGGUCGCCUCCCAAAAUGUAACGGAGGCUCUCAAUGGUUCCCUCAGCAUGGUCGGUAAUCAUGCGUAGAGUGCAAACGCAGAAGGGAGCUUGACUGCGAGACAUACAGGUCGAGCAGGUGCGAAAGCAGGAGUUAGUGAUCCGGCGGUAGCGAAUGGAAGUGCCGUCGCUCAAAGGAUAAAAGGUACUCCGGGGAUAACAGGCUGAUCUUGCCCAAGAGUUCAUAUCGACGGCAAGGUUUGGCACCUCGAUGUCGGCUCAUCGCAUCCUGGGGCUGGAGAAGGUCCCAAGGGUUUGGCUGUUCGCCAAUUAAAGCGGUACGUGAGCUGGGUUCAGAACGUCGUGAGACAGUUCGGUCUCUAUCCUAUGCGGGCGCAGGAUGUUUGAGGAGAGUCGUCUUUAGUACGAGAGGACCGAGACGAACGAACCUCUAGUGUACCAAUUGUCGUGCCAACGGCAUGGUUGGGUAGCUACGUUCGGAAAUGAUAAGCACUGAAAGCAUCUAAGUGCGAAGCAUACUUCAAGAUUAAACAUCCCUCAUAUGACUAAAGACUCCUUGGAGAUGACAAGGUUGAUAGGCCACAGAUGUACGCACAGUAAUGUGUUCAGUCGAGUGGUACUAAUAAGUCGUGAGGCUUAACCU
RNAcentral lists this ribosomal RNA (2938 nucleotides) under Melioribacteraceae bacterium. RNAcentral describes it as "23S ribosomal RNA". It matches the Rfam family "Bacterial large subunit ribosomal RNA". The record is from RNAcentral. Lineage: Bacteria; Pseudomonadati; Ignavibacteriota; Ignavibacteria; Ignavibacteriales; Melioribacteraceae.